UCAAGUCAUCAUGGCCCUUACGAGUAGCCUACACACGUGCUACAAUGGGGCAUACAAAGAGAAGCAAACUUGCAAAAGUUAGCAAAUCUCAUAAAAUGCUUCGUAGUCCGGAUUGGAGUCUGCAACUCGACUCUAUGAAGUCGGAAUCGCUAGUAAUCGUGGAUCAGAAUGCCACGGUGAAUACGUUCCCGGGCCUUGUACACACCGCCCGUCACACCAUGGAAGUGUAUUGCAAAAGAAGUUAGUAGCUUAACCUAAUUAUGUUAGGAGGGCGCUUACCACUUUGUGAUUCAUGACUGGGGUGAAGUCGUAACAAGGUAACCGUAGGGGAACCUGCGGUUGGAUCACCUCCUUACUAAA
RNAcentral lists this ribosomal RNA (360 nucleotides) under Candidatus Palibaumannia cicadellinicola. RNAcentral's name for it is "bacterial SSU rRNA". It matches the Rfam family "Bacterial small subunit ribosomal RNA", at positions 1185 to 1533 of the family's 1533-position model. Lineage: Bacteria; Pseudomonadati; Pseudomonadota; Gammaproteobacteria. The record is from RNAcentral.